AGUUUAAUAGUUAUUAAUGGAUAGUAAGUUAAAGUAGGAGAAGUGCAGCAAGGAAGUAGAUUUAAUUAGUUUUGUACGAAUAGAGUGGACUGAGGUUUCAAGGAUUAUUAUAGGGAAUUAGUAUUGUGAAAGAAUUUGAAAAGCUAUGAAAAAGAAAAAUUAAUUUUUUGUACCUUGGGUAUCAGGGUUUAUUAAUUAAAGUUUAUAUUUAUAAAUUUCUCGAAUUUAAAAGAGUUAUGAUUAUAUUUUUUUACUGUGGAAUAAGUUCUGUAAAUAUAGUUAUUGAAAUGAAACGUUAUUCGUUUUUAAAUAUAUCUAGUUUUUUAAGAAAAAAAUUAAAUUUUAUUUUUGCUUUAUUAUAGGGUUAUAUUUUUAAGUUUAUGGUAGUAGAAUUUUACAUUUUAAGGGAUGAGCUUUAAGAUGUAUUUAUAUAAUAAAUAAGAGGUUAGGUAUAUGAUUAGUAGGGUUGAAAGUUUCUAUCUUUAUUAGUGUGUUAUUAUUAGUUGUUGUAAUUUUUGAUUUUUAUUUUAUUUAUGUGGUUAUUAAAGUAUAGGCUUAAAUUUAAAAGGUUUAGAAAAAAUGAUAGAAUUAGUAUAAUUUUAGGUUUAAUUUGUUAUUGUGGGGAGGUUUCUUAAAGGAAUUCGGCAAAAAUACUCUUCACCUGUUUAUUAAAAACAUGUCCUGUUGAUUGUUAUUUCAGGUUUGGUCUGCCCAUUGAGGGUAUUUAACGGCCGCGGUAAAUUGACCGUGCAAAGGUAGCAUAAUCAUUAGUUUUUUAAUUGAAAGCUUGUAUGAAGGGCUUGAUGAGAGAGUUUCUGUCUCUGGGAAAGUUUAAUAGAAUUUUAUUUUUAAGUGAAAAAGCUUAGAUUGUUAUAGAAGACGAGAAGACCCUAUAGAGUUUUAUAGGUGAAGAUAUAUUUAUUUAAGGGAUUAAGUUUUAAUUGUAUUUUACGCUAUUUUGUUGGGGUGAUGAGAAAAUUGAAUGAACUUUUCUUUUGGUAAGAUAAUUAUACUUAUGUUUAUGAUCCUUAAGUUAAGAUUAGAAGAAUAAAUUACCUUAGGGAUAACAGCGUUAUUUUUUUUAGAGUUCUUAUCGAAAGGAAAGAUUGCGACCUCGAUGUUGGAUUAAAAUUUAUUAUUGGUGUAGAAGCUAGUAAGUUAGGUCUGUUCGACCUUUAAAAUUUUACAUGAUCUGAGUUUAAACCGGCGUGAGCCAGGUUGGUUUCUAUCUCUAUAAAGAUGAUUAUUUUAGUACGAAAGGACCAAGUAUUCAAUUUAUAAUUAAAGUUUUGAGUAGAAUUAA
RNAcentral lists this ribosomal RNA (1303 nucleotides) under Trigonopterus daun. RNAcentral's name for it is "16S ribosomal RNA". The stretch from base 849 to 1239 matches the Rfam family "Bacterial large subunit ribosomal RNA", at positions 2049 to 2651 of the family's 2925-position model. Lineage: Eukaryota; Metazoa; Arthropoda; Insecta; Coleoptera; Curculionidae. The record is from RNAcentral.